Long non-coding RNA from Rana temporaria (common frog), 261 nucleotides. RefSeq lists it as uncharacterized. The transcript has 2 exons. NCBI's taxonomy places the organism in Eukaryota, Metazoa, Chordata, Amphibia, Anura, Ranidae. The record is from RefSeq and is a predicted model, not a curated record.
UACUCCAUGUUCUUUUUUGCUACAAUGACAGAUGGUCAAAGGAAGAUUAGUGACCUGGGAUAAUCUGUAAUUAGCAUGUUUGUGUGCUGGCAUCAAUGAGGUUAGACUCUAUUCUUCAAAUGAGAGGUCUUAGGAUGUGAGGGACCAGACCAUGAUGUAACAAACCAGGACACAGUUCAACAUGGCAAGCAAAAAGACAUCAAAGCAGAAAUUAGAAGAUAAAGACCCCAAGAAUAAAACAGAGGGGAAAAAAACAAAGGG